GAGUGACAGGUGGUGCAUGGUUGUCGUCAGCUCGUGUCGUGAGAUGUUGGGUUAAGUCCCGCAACGAGCGCAACCCUUAUCUUCAGUAGCCAGCAAUUCGGUUGGGCACUCUGGAGAGACUGCCAGGGAUAACCUGGAGGAAGGUGGGGAUGACGUCAAAUCAUCAUGCCCCUUAUGAUUUGGGCUACACACGUGCUACAAUGGCGUAAACAAAGGGAAGCAGCCCUGCGAAGGUGAGCAAAUCCCAAAAAUAACGUCUCAGUUCGGAUUGUAGUCUGCAACUCGACUACAUGAAGCUGGAAUCGCUAGUAAUCGCGAAUCAGAAUGUCGCGGUGAAUACGUUCCCGGGUCUUGUACACACCGCCCGUCACACCAUGGGAGUCGGAAAUGCCCGAAGUCAGUGACCCAACCGCAAGGAGGGAGCUGCCGAAGGUGGAGCCGGUAACUGGGGUGAAGUCGUAACAAGGUAGCCGUAUCGGAAGGUGCGGCUGGAUCACCUC
This 500-nucleotide ribosomal RNA is filed under the name uncultured bacterium. Its description in RNAcentral is "bacterial SSU rRNA". It matches the Rfam family "Bacterial small subunit ribosomal RNA", at positions 1029 to 1529 of the family's 1533-position model. The record is from RNAcentral.